Molecule: transfer RNA, 84 nt
Filed under: Planctomycetaceae bacterium
Lineage: Bacteria; Pseudomonadati; Planctomycetota; Planctomycetia; Planctomycetales; Planctomycetaceae
Description: tRNA-Leu
Rfam family: tRNA
About the family: Transfer RNA (tRNA) molecules are approximately 80 nucleotides in length. Their secondary structure includes four short double-helical elements and three loops (D, anti-codon, and T loops).
Source: RNAcentral
GCGGCUGUGGCGAAACUGGCAGACGCGCUAGGUUGAGGGCCUAGUGGGGGCAACCCCUUGGAGGUUCAAAUCCUCUCAGCCGCA